This 174-nucleotide long non-coding RNA is filed under the name Homo sapiens (human). RNAcentral describes it as "LINC-SLC35A5.2". The record is from RNAcentral. Lineage: Eukaryota; Metazoa; Chordata; Mammalia; Primates; Hominidae.
ACUGCCCCUGAAAUGAGGAUAGUAUAACCUGGAGAGGAGCAAUUGUCAUGUGAAAAAGGAAGUAGACAUUUUUCUGCUCUGGAGAAUCAAACUACAGUAAAAUUUAUAUGGCAAAGGAUAUAGUACAAGAAGAAAAAGAGAAUACAGAUGACAUCGGGGGUCCAAGAGACAUUC